Molecule: ribosomal RNA, 460 nt
Filed under: uncultured Desulfovibrio sp.
Lineage: Bacteria; Pseudomonadati; Thermodesulfobacteriota; Desulfovibrionia; Desulfovibrionales; Desulfovibrionaceae
Description: bacterial SSU rRNA
Rfam family: Bacterial small subunit ribosomal RNA
Source: RNAcentral
CCCGCACAAGCGGUGAGCAUGUGGUUAAUUCGACGCAACGCGAAGAACCUUACCAGGGCUUGACAUCCCCUGACCGCGUAUGAAAGUACGUUUUCACCCUCGGGUGACAGGGAGACAGGUGGUGCAUGGUUGUCGUCAGCUCGUGUCGUGAGAUGUUGGGUUAAGUCCCGCAACGAGCGCAACCCUCGCCUUUAGUUGCCAGCAUUCAGUUGGGCACUCUAGAGGGACUGCCGGUGUCAAACCGGAGGAAGGUGGGAUGACGUCAAGUCCUCAUGGCCUUUAUGUCUAGGGCUACACACGUACUACAAUGGCCGGUACAAAGGGCAGCCACUCAGCGAUGAGGCGCUAAUCCCAUAAAGCCGGUCUCAGUCCGGAUCGCAGUCUGCAACUCGACUGCGUGAAGUUGGAAUCGCUAGUAAUCGUAGAUCAGCAUGCUACGGUGAAUACGUUCCCGGGCCUU